UUUUGGAGAAACAACAUCUUUACGUAUUCAGAUUCAAGUGACUGAACCGCCUGCAAAGUUUGGCUUAACUAUAAAACCCACGUUAAACUAUACGUAUGUUUCAUCUAGAAUUUUAAUAGGGUUGGGAGCAAGCAGAGUGUAGAAUUGUGGAAUGUAAAGUUUCACAUGCGCUGGGUUGUAGACGAGACUCAAAGGAACUCGGUUCACAAAGAUAAACUGGGAAUUUCAAUAAAUACUAUUAAGGGUAUCAGCUGUAAUCUCUGUACACGGACGAGCUAACCCUGUAACGGAAGAUCAACUUGAAGUUGUUGCUUCUGCAUCUUUAUCGUUGGUUAUCACCGUUUACCUAAAGACAAACAGUUUCAACUUCCCAAUCAUAAAGUAUCUCCUUACAAGGUAAAAAAUUUAAGAGUAUUUAAACACGAUUUAAUUUUUCUUCUUUUAUCCAUCCUCCAGGUAUGUUAUUGAAUAAUUAAAAUUGUUGACGUAUAAAAAAAUUAAUUAUAUUUCUAGGUAAAUAAUAACUAAAACCUGUUACAGAAUAACAAUUUAAUUAUGCUCCUUAUUCAAAAGCGUUAAGACCUAUUUUGUAUUAAAUAGUAGUUCGUUCAGCAAUUCUAACACAGGGACUUAGUUUUCUUUUAGUGUUUCCCUAACAAAUAACAUUGUUCCAUCUUUAAGAAGCGUCCGCAUCGUCAACAUGUCUGCCUUCACGACAAAUACUUUUGUAAACGAUUCAAAUUAUGUUUUUCUAAAACCUUUUGCUGCCUUUUUGUAUUUGCUUUGAAAGGCGUAUCUGUAAUUGUAUUAUUUCUUCACUGAAGUGAUGUUUUAGCUCUUUUGCAGGAUGAUGUGAUAAGGAAUAAUAUAAUAAAUUACUUCUUUAAAUAUUU
Danaus plexippus (monarch butterfly) is the source of this 893-nucleotide long non-coding RNA. RefSeq lists it as uncharacterized. Lineage: Eukaryota; Metazoa; Arthropoda; Insecta; Lepidoptera; Nymphalidae. The record is from RefSeq and is a predicted model, not a curated record. The transcript has 3 exons.